Herpailurus yagouaroundi (jaguarundi) is the source of this 1891-nucleotide long non-coding RNA. RefSeq lists it as uncharacterized. NCBI's taxonomy places the organism in Eukaryota, Metazoa, Chordata, Mammalia, Carnivora, Felidae. The transcript is spliced from 5 exons. The record is from RefSeq and is a predicted model, not a curated record.
AAAUGUACCUGCUGUACUUUAAUACAACUUUGGUUCUGUUUUGUUUCUUUCCUUGAACUUGAAGAUGCUCCUAGGAAGCAGAGAUACUUAUGGAAUGAAAAUAAGGACAAAUAAGACUUUCUCUAAAUAUCCUGGGAUGAAGGACACUGAAGGGAAAUUGUCAGAUGAGGUUCUGCUGCAGUAGUGGACCCUUCAUCCUACAUGAUUGGUGUCCUUCCCAGAAGGGGAGAGAGAUCCAUGGGAGAAGGCAGCUCCGUGAAGACAGAGGCAGAGAUUGAAGCAGCUGCAAGCCAAAAGACCCCAAGAGUGAAUCUCUAAGAGUUUCAGAAGGAGCACGGCUCUGCUGACACCUUGAUUUUGCACUUCCAAACUUCUGAACUGUCAGCUGGAGGUUGGGCUUGGCUGGAGUGGCUCUGCUUCAAGUGUCUUUCAUGCUCCUUAUACCAGCAGGACAGCUUCGGAGCAUAUUUUUCACAUAUCAUUGGAAGAGCUAUGAGAAAGCAAGUGGAAAGCUCACUUUUGGUACCUAGCCGCCAUACCAUGAGGAAGCCUAAGUCGACUGCAGGAUGACCCACACUGACAGGUCCAUAGCCCUGAUGAGCCCUUGGGUGGUGGCAAGCACCAAUUUGCCGUCUUGAAAUCAGGUCCUGCGGAUCCUAGUCAAGCAGCCCCAAGUGAUGCUGUGAGGAAGAACCCACAGAGAAGUAUAGCAGUAAUUUGUGGAUGGGGCUUUAAAGCAGUCGCCUUUUGCAGGACACCUGCUUCUUUAAGAUAGUUGUAAGAAGACUACAGGCUACAUUUUCACCUCUGAAGUCAUGAAAAUAUGGUAGUAAUUAUCCAAGAUUUUUAACCAUAGUGCAAGAUAUCAAGAAGUUUGAAAUAAAGAAGAGAACGAGGUAACUUUUUGAUCUUUGAGUAAUCAGGAAACGACAAGAGUUUCUGAACCAAACUAUAUUAAUCUCUUAAGUUUUCUGCUUCAUUUGAAAAUUAGGCCACUGCUUCUUUGGCUCCCUGACUUCCCAGAGCACCCUCAUCCUGAGUGUUUUCCUCCAGUAAACACUGGCCUCACCUAUUGGUUUAUUUUUAUCAUUUAAAAAAGCAAACUGCAAUCACAAGUCACGUGUUUGGCAGCCUUCUGUCUUAAAGAAGCAGCACCAGCAUACCUGAAGCCCAGGUGAGCAGAGGUCUGGCCUCAAGACGACAGGGUUGCAGCAGAAGGAGGAACAUAAUGGGCCUUGGAAGGGAAGCCUAUGCAGUGUACGUGGCCAGCACACAUCAACACACGAAAUGAUGGCACCUAGAGGCAGGGGCAGCACUAGAUGUGGUUCCCGUUAGUCCUGCAGAGCACUUUCUGAACUAGAGGAUGAUCUACAAAUAUGAGUUGUUGAAUAAACUGGUCUCAGUGAGAUGUUGCAGUAGUUCAGGCAGUGCUUACGUACCCUGGAGCCAACUCUCAUGUAUGCUAAGAUUGCAAUGAAGAUCCAACAGGACGACAGUCACCAUCAGUGAUGUCAGCUAUAUUAAAGUGAAUAAAAUGGUGGCCUUUGCCAAAAAGCACAGAAGGGCAAUAUGUCAUCCUAAGUCAAUCUAAGUAAAAAGUCAACAAAAUACCUCAAUCCCUCCCCCUACACAUAUGUGAAGCGGAUUGCUGGUCCAGGUCUUGCAGAUGAGGAAAUGAGAUGAAGAAAGUUUACUAGAGACUGUGUCUUCCUGCUGCCUCCUUGCUGCCUGGCCGCUUGGAUACACCCACUUCCUGUGUGACCACACUCUCCCUGGCCACAGGUAUCGGGCCAAGGUAAAUGUUUGCUAGGGACCCCAGGACUCCAAGAGAUUGGUCUGGUAGGAAAGCAUGAGCUAUUGCAAUCUGAUCUUUCCUCUCUGGACAUGGAAU